AGGGAAUCUUCCACAAUGGACGAAAGUCUGAUGGAGCAACGCCGCGUGAGUGAUGAAGGUUUUCGGAUCGUAAAACUCUGUUGUAAGGGAAGAACCAGUACGUCAGGCAAUGGACGUACCUUGACGGUACCUUAUUAGAAAGCCACGGCUAACUACGUGCCAGCAGCCGCGGUAAUACGUAGGUGGCAAGCGUUGUCCGGAAUUAUUGGGCGUAAAGCGCGCGCAGGUGGUUUCUUAAGUCUGAUGUGAAAGCCCACGGCUUAACCGUGGAGGGUAAUGGAAACUGGGGAGACUGAGGUGAGGAGGGGAAAGUGGAAAUUCAAGGGUAGGGGGGAAAUGGGUAGAGAUUUGGAGGAACACCAGUGGCGAAGGCGACUUUCUGGUCUGCAACUGACGCUGAGGCGCGAAAGCAUGGGGAGCAAACA
Molecule: ribosomal RNA, 425 nt
Filed under: uncultured Rummeliibacillus sp.
Lineage: Bacteria; Bacillati; Bacillota; Bacilli; Caryophanales; Caryophanaceae
Description: bacterial SSU rRNA
Rfam family: Bacterial small subunit ribosomal RNA
Source: RNAcentral